This 137-nucleotide ribosomal RNA is filed under the name uncultured eukaryote. RNAcentral's name for it is "partial 18S ribosomal RNA". It matches the Rfam family "Eukaryotic small subunit ribosomal RNA", at positions 1299 to 1458 of the family's 1831-position model. The record is from RNAcentral.
UCGUGGAGUGAUUUGUCUGCUUAAUUGCGAUAACGAACGAGACCUUAACCUACUAAAUAGCCAGGCUAGCUUUGGCUGGUCGCCGGCUUCUUAGAGGGACUUUCGGCUCAAGCCGAUGGAAGUUUGAGGCAAUAACA